This is a long non-coding RNA of Cyprinus carpio (common carp), 545 nucleotides long. RefSeq lists it as uncharacterized. The record is from RefSeq and is a predicted model, not a curated record. Lineage: Eukaryota; Metazoa; Chordata; Actinopteri; Cypriniformes; Cyprinidae. The transcript has 4 exons.
GUUAUGACACAGUGGACUCUGUCAAUUCUUUCACAAUUCCAGCAGCCAGUGCCCCAGAACUCUCAUACAGCAUUAAUAUCAAUGUGAAUGGUCGCUGGUCUUUCCAUGUUGAUGGUUCGCUAAACUUGCCUGCUAAUUUCCUGCCGUUUGGGGAGGGAGACGUGGUAAAUCCCAUUUCAGAUGAUGGAAGCUCUGGAGCCAUUUACUUGCAGCAGCCUUUCAAAUACUUUGGACGCACAUACAAUCAGAUCUAUGUGAACAACAACGGUCACCUGACUUUUACUCAACCACUGUCUGCCUACGUUCAUUAUCUGAACGCUGGAAUAGACAUCAUUGCUCCUCUGUGGACCGACCUUAACAAUUUCAAUGGUGGAACUAUCUCCUACAGAGAGGAUACAAGUAGCGCUGUACUGGCACAAGUCACUCAAGCUGUUAACCAAUAUUUCCCUAACGUCCCUUUUACCGCUACAUCAGCCUUUGUGGCUACCUGGGACAGUGUGCCGUACAUCACUGGUGGAGGGGUGGUUACUUUCCAAGUGGUUUUU